AACGGGUGAGUAACGCGUGAGCAAUCUGCCUCAGAGUGGGGGACAACAGUUGGAAACGACUGCUAAUACCGCAUAAGCCCACGGAUCCGCAUGGACCUGCGGGAAAAGAUUUAUCGCUUUGAGAUGAGCUCGCGUCCGAUUAGGUAGAUGGUGAGGUAACGGCCCACCAUGCCGACGAUCGGUAGCCGGACUGAGAGGUUGAACGGCCACAUUGGGACUGAGACACGGCCCAGACUCCUACGGGAGGCAGCAGUGGGGAAUAUUGCACAAUGGGGGAAACCCUGAUGCAGCGACGCCGCGUGGAGGAAGAAGGUCUUCGGAUUGUAAACUCCUGUUGUUGGGGACGAUAAUGACGGUACCCGACAAGAAAGUGACGGCUAACUACGUGCCAGCAGCCGCGGUAAAACGUAGGUCACAAGCGUUGUCCGGAAUUACUGGGUGUAAAGGGAGCGCAGGCGGGGAUGCAAGUUGGAAGUGAAAUCUACGGGCUCAACUCGUAAACUGCUUUCAAAACUGCAUCUCUUGAGUAGUGCAGAGGUAGGCGGAAUUCCCGGUGUAGCGGUGGAAUGCGUAGAUAUCGGGAGGAACACCAGUGGCGAAGGCGGCCUACUGGGCACCAACUGACGCUGAGGCUCGAAAGUAUGGGUAGCAAACAGGAUUAGAUACCCUGGUAGUCCAUACCGUAAACGAUGAUUACUAGGUGUUGGAGGAUUGACCCCUUCAGUGCCGCAGUUAACACAAUAAGUAAUCCACCUGGGGAGUACGACCGCAAGGUUGAAACUCAAAGGAAUUGACGGGGGCCC
Molecule: ribosomal RNA, 803 nt
Filed under: uncultured bacterium
Lineage: Bacteria
Description: bacterial SSU rRNA
Rfam family: Bacterial small subunit ribosomal RNA
Source: RNAcentral